This 253-nucleotide ribosomal RNA is filed under the name uncultured bacterium. Its description in RNAcentral is "partial 16S ribosomal RNA". It matches the Rfam family "Bacterial small subunit ribosomal RNA", at positions 524 to 776 of the family's 1533-position model. The record is from RNAcentral.
UACAGAGGGUGCGAGCGUUAAUCGGAAUUACUGGGCGUAAAGGGCUCGUAGGCGGCCAACUAAGUCAUACGUGAAAUCCCUCAGCUUAACUGGGGAACUGCGUGUGAUACUGGAUGGCUUGGAUUUGGGAGAGGGAUGCGGAAUUCCAGGUGUAGCGGUGAAAUGCGUAGAUAUCUGGAGGAACACCGGUGGCGAAGGCGGCAUCCUGGACCAAUAUUGACGCUGAGGAGCGAAAGCCAGGGGAGCAAACGGG